Macaca mulatta (Rhesus monkey) is the source of this 69-nucleotide non-coding RNA. The record is from Rfam. NCBI's taxonomy places the organism in Eukaryota, Metazoa, Chordata, Mammalia, Primates, Cercopithecidae.
AGCUUUGCACAGUGGCAGUAUUGUAGCCAAUGAGGUUUAUCCAAGGCAUGAUUAUUGCUAAUUGACAUU